UGGCAGAAAACAGUUUUUCCCCUUCCACUGUGGAAAAAAAAAAAGACAAAAUGAAGGCCUGCACACCUUUAGCUCCACCAGCCAGAGCCUGUCCUCGUGCUCACCAGGCCCCUCACAACAGAUGAUAACCAGUGCACUAGUGACCCCAUGAUCAAUACUGUUUAGUUAUCCUUCCAGGUGUGUCAAGAAUAUUUGAUUAGAGGGGAGGGGCUGUUUGGCACUUUGACUCCAGAUAGAAGCAGAUACAAGAAAAGUUGGGAUGCUGACCAUGAGCUGCCUUUAGGGAUUGGAUGCAGUGCAAAAGCAACCAACGUGCCAUUUCACAUUUAGAUCAAACGUGAGGGAAAUGAUCCCGAUGUCAUCAAAGCCUUGGCUACCGGCACAGCGCUAUCAGCCACACCGUACAGUGAUCGCGGCUCUGGAUCUGGUCUUUAAUCAACAUCUGGCAGGAUCCGGAUCGAUAGCUCUGGCAGGGAGCUGCUUCCAGUGACAAAGGGGGACACAGCGCGCUACGUUAGCAUGCUAAGCUAGCUAACUCGCACCAACAACAUGGGCUUUCCAAGACUGGUGCUGCUGUUCCUUACCUUGUUUUUUCCCCCCACAACAAAGGAUAACUACCUGUGUCAUUUCACUCCCCAAAACAGACAUGGGUGAACUUACAGAAUAAAUCAUUCCACUUGAGAUUAUUGUGAAACCUGUCUGACUUCUUUAAAAACAGCGACCAUGACAGCCAAAUUACCUUAGCUUUAGUCCAUCAGCGCAUCACGGCAGCUAGCGAAAGCUAACAGCGGACUAACGUUAACGAUACCUUGCUUUUACGUUGUGCCCAGUGAUAUGACUGACAAGUUUACCUGCU
Molecule: long non-coding RNA, 856 nt
Organism: Myripristis murdjan (pinecone soldierfish)
Lineage: Eukaryota; Metazoa; Chordata; Actinopteri; Holocentriformes; Holocentridae
Exons: 3
Source: RefSeq, a predicted model, not a curated record